This 433-nucleotide ribosomal RNA is filed under the name uncultured bacterium. RNAcentral describes it as "partial 16S ribosomal RNA". It matches the Rfam family "Bacterial small subunit ribosomal RNA", at positions 29 to 507 of the family's 1533-position model. The record is from RNAcentral.
AACGAACGCUGGCGGCAUGCCUAACACAUGCAAGUCGAACGAGACCUUCGGGUCUAGUGGCGCACGGGUGCGUAACGCGUGGGAACCUGCCCUUAGGUUCGGAAUAACUCCCCGAAAGGGGUGCUAAUACCGGAUAAUGUCUUCGGACCAAAGAUUUAUCGCCUUUGGAUGGGCCCGCGUUGGAUUCGCUAGUUGGUAGGGUAAAAGCCUACCAAGGCGACGAUCCCUAGCUGGUCUGAGAGGAUGAUCAGCCACACUGGGACUGAGACACGGCCCAGACUCCUACGGGAGGCAGCAGUGGGGAAUAUUGGACAAUGGGCGAAAGCCUGAUCCAGCAAUGCCGCGUGAGUGAUGAAGGCCUUAGGGUUGUAAAGCUCUUUUACCCGGGAUGAUAAUGACAGUACCGGGAGAAUAAGCUCCGGCUAACUCCGUG